AGUACUGCUUCUUGAACAACCAAUCCAGUUUUGGAUAGAUUGUCACUAGUUGCACAGAGUGGACCCUCUACAAGAUAAGGUGGCCUCCCAUGUAAGCUUAGGAUCCGACGAACUGCAGAGUUGCCAUCUGAGUCAAGGUUACGAUUACCAUAAAGACAAGUUUCUGAGGAACUGAUGUUCUUUCUAGAGGUAAAAUCAGGAAACAGGUAGUUCUCAAAUAAAGAACGUGAUGCAGCUGCAAUUGCUUGGUGAGCUCGUUUCAAACAGACUCGGUUGAAUGAGAAGCUAAUAUCGUAUCUGUACUUUGGAUGAUGCAGUGAAUAAAAAUCUUCUUCAAACUCAACCAACACUACGUUGCUCUUCACCACCCGGUAAAGAAUACCCUGGACAGGAUUUGAGAAAACAAAUAUUCGGGAAAUUAAGGAGAUAUUUUCCGAAGAUAUUCAACCAGAAAAACAAAAUGUCUGGAUAUCCAAGGACUAGGUGACACAGUACAUUUAACUUUAUAUGGAUUCUUUCAGGAUUAACCUGUUGCUCAUCAAUGAAUACUUUCUCUCUGUAUCACAUGACUGGGAAAAGAUAAAAUGAAUUCUGAAAAGGAAAUAACAUUGUUGGCUGAUGCUUUGUUGAGCCGCUAAACAGGCCGGAUGUCCUCAAACAAAAACUAUAACAUGAUCUUACACACCGGCCUUUUGUUCCUCAUCUAAAGUUCAAACUGAGCAAUAGUUUGCAUUAAGUAGGUUUGCAGAAUUUCAAAUGGCAUAAUUUAUAAAUUAUAUUGAUAGCUGCGACUAGAAUUAUAUUCCAAAAAUUUGAAAGCAUAAGGAGAAAGAAGCAUAAAAUAGAUUCUCAAUUUGGCAGAAGAUAUGAAUAUUUAUCACUAAAAGAGAUUCUACAAAUUAUUAGUUUGAAAGAUCAGGAUACUUACUUGAAACUUCUUGGAUGUGCCACCUGAACGUUGUGCAUAAACAAAAUCUCUAGAUAAAAGAAAGGGUCGCCUCUCAGGAACAGAAUCAAUUUCAAAGGCUACAAAGAGUUUAUCAUCCGUUUCAUAACUCUCCUCCAGAUUCUUGUUCUUGAGUGACUUAUCAUAUAUUGCUGCUUUAUGCAACUCCAAUGUGACAUUGAAUAACUGAAAACCGCUCCACUUCUGAUCAAAUCAAAGCCAUUAUUAUAUCUAAACACAACUAGGAAGUAUGAUAGAAAGCACUUGGAUGAAACUGUAAUGUUUUUGGUCCGUAGACACAUCUUGCAUUCAAUCAUCUAAAACAUGUAAGAUUCCUACAAAUCACUUUUGUACCAAAUAUUGUUAUCUUCUAUGAAGAGUCGAUAUGGGCUGUAUUUACAGAGUAAGUUGCAGCUAAAGCAGUCUACAAGAGCUGCCUAUCUCUGUUAAAUUGCCUACCAACACAAAAUGCACCAAGAUUAUCAAUAACAUUGGAAUGUUACUAAUUCGGUGCUUUGACGUUUUUGCUUACUCGCAAAUCUAAACAGGCUUGUCUCGUGAAGCCUAAUUGGUAAAUCUAACGACAAACUCAGACAGAGAUAUUAGAUAUAAAAUCAUGUAUCUCCAGUAAAACAUGUUUGAUGGUUGCUAAAUACAGCACCCAUAUGAUGUUUUAUCGUAUACAAGGUAAACUCAAACAUUCCAAAGGGGGUAGUAAUGCACUAAACACAACAAAUGUGUCUUCCACCGAACAGCCACAGUACACAAUAUACGAUUGGUAGCAAUGAAGUUAUGUAUAAUGUUUAUGUAUAUGCAUAUAAAUAGAUAUACAUGUAUAUUAGGAUUCUAUCAUUUUGAGGUCAAUCAUGAUGUAUGCAUGACCUAGAAUCAAGGGAUCAAAUUUGAGUGGAAUGAUAUAAUAUCGUAAGACAUUAAGUGGUCAUUGAGUAGAAAAUCACUCCAACAAUAGUUUAACCUUAUUUAGUGAUGAUUCACUACUCUUGUAAUGCUAUAAAUGAGAGCUAAUCCACGGAGAAAGGUAGAAGAGACAAGCUAGAGACAAGUCAUUGAGCUAAAGAGUGCAAUUUGAGAGAAUUUGAGCCAAAAUUUCAAACUUAGAGGGUUCUUGCAACGUGAUCUGAGGGGAUUGUCCGGCUUUGUGAUCAUCUUCCGACCAGAAGUCAGUAGCACAACCUUAGUUUGUCGAUUUACCGCACAUAAUCCUAGUAUGUAUCUAAAUUCGGAUUUUAUGAGUUUUAUGUGUAUUCUCGCUUGCAAAUAACACACACGAAAUGAUACUAUAAAGAAUAACAUGCAAAAAGGUCACUGUUAAUACCUCAAUGUAGAAAUCCUCAGCGUACAGCAGAGCAGCAAAGUAGUCUUUGUAAGUCGAUGGAGACAAUGGCUUCUCCAAAACGUGAGGCACGAUGUCUUUCUUGAUCAAAUCUUCAAUAUCCUCAGGAAUCUUGUAAUUAGAGGCUCCCUUCUCGUCCAAUAUAUAGCGAUCAUUUUCCUGCUGAUAUUUUGAAUCAGGAGGAAGCGGAGAAAGGGUAGGCUGAGAAGAUGAAGGCGCGUUCUGAGACAAUGGAUUCUUCAAAUCUUCAGGCUCAAUAUCUUUCUUGAUCGGACUUUCAAUAUCCUUGGGAUAGUUAGCUUUCAUCUGGUCCUUUGUUGGAUUAAAGCAGGGCGGGCACGGAGUGGGCUUAGAGGACUCAGGGAUGCUCGGGGAUGAUGAUGUUGGCACGGAAGGAGAUUGAGAUGGACCACAUGAAGAUGGAGAUUGCUUAGCAGAUGAUCGAGGUUGAUCAGAAGUAAGGGGAGGUGCCACGGGUGUAGAGAACGAGGAGCGUGAUUUAGAAGAAGGAAUUGAAGGUUUAGGACUAGAAGAUGAUGGUGGAGGUUCAGUUGGAGAUACGGAUGGCUUAGAAGGAACUGAUGCAGGUUUAGGGAGUGAUGGCUUAGAGGAAAAUGGAGGUUGUGAUGUUCUAUAUUUCAAUCUCGAGGACGCUUCAUCAGUUCCUUCCAUAAACUUGUUAACAUAUUCUGAUUCAAUAGACACAGCUCCAUUCCUUUUUGUAGUUGAGCUACUAGUUGGUAAAUUCGGGUAAUAAUCGUAGUACUUGAUUUGGGUUCGAUCAGAUUGGUCUUGCCGAUCGUUAUUCUCAUAACUAGAAUUCCUAACAGAAGUGUUACGUGAAGCUGAUCCGUGUGAAGGGUCUCCCUUCGAAGUCCGCAUUUCAGUUACAUGAUCUUGGUCGCUUGAAAUGUAUCGCAAAGUUUUUGCUAACACAUACGCUGUGCAGCCCAUGACCGCCCAUUUAAACAUCCUGCGGCGAAAGCAAAAUAAAGAAGAUUGAACACCAUUAAAGAAAUCAAUAAACUCAUGCAUGACUCUGUAAGUGCUAGUAAGAUGAAACUAUCCUGAAAUCAAAAUAAGUGAAGAUCAAAAGCACGAUUGAUUACCUUCUGGUUUUUUUGUUACAGAUGAGAACACUGGAACACAACUACGCAAGUGGUUUUUUCAAUUUGAUCUUCCUUUCCAAAGAACGAAUUACACAUGAAGUAAAAAGCACUCCAACACAACUCAAGAAUCAAAAAAGUUAAAAGCUUUGCAUGGGAGAUGAAAGCAUAUUGUUUCUUACAUAGAAAGAAAACUCAACCAAGUGAGGCCACGUCAUCAUGUGGACCCAGGUGCCAUUGUAGGCCUGUGGCUGUGUGCCUGUGUAGCAUAUAAAAAGGCCAAAAAGAGGGAAGUACAUUUAUUUAAGUAUUUUACAUAUUUAUUAUUGCUUUGUUAAAGCUUCUUUAUUAAAAUUUACUUUAAUUUAUUAAAGUUUACUUUGUAUAUAUAUGAUUACACUUAUUAAAGAUUUACUAUAUAUUUAUUAUUUUAAUAAAUUUUACUUUAAUUUAUUAUUACACUUAUUAAAAUUUAUUUUGUAUAUAUGAUUACACUUAUUAAAAAUUUACUUUAUAUUUAUUAUUAUUUUAUUAAAGUUUCUUUAAUAAAAUUUAUUUUAAUUUAUUAUUAUACUUAUUAAGGUUGCCUUAUCUUUAUUGUUGUUUUAUUAAAAUUACUUUAUUAAAGUUUACUUUAUUGCUUUGUGUUUGUUAAUUCUCGAAAACAUGGACUUGAAAGAAGGAAACAUAGAAUUAUUCCACUUCUUUCAUUAUUCAUCUUCCUGCUCUCCCAACACCAAAACCUAAAUUCUAGAUCUCUCAUAGCAACAUUCUCCAAAUCUUCAAUAGAGUUAGAAAUCUUAGUUAAUUUGGAAGCUUCUUGAUUUGGUGAGUCUUUAUUACUUAUGUUUUUAUUGUUUUGAAUACAUGCUUAACUAAUAAGUAACUUGAUUCGGAGAUUAUUAACAAAUCCCUUUGAUAAGAAUACUUUUGGUUUCUCGAAUUAAAUAUGCUGGAUUGAUCCUUCCGCAUGUAAAUUGUCUUUGAGUAGCUCUAGAAGAUACUAGACUUUACUUUGGUUUAGCAUUUUUCUUCUUUGCCAUAAAUAGAUUUAACCAAAACAAAAAAAGCACGCUCAAGAAUGCACAGUCUUCUUUUGGUUUUUGUUUUUGCUCCUGUUGAUAUAUGUUCUGGAGAUUGGUCUAGCAAUCUGAACCAGAAUUCUCUCUCUGUUUGUCCGGACAGAUCUCACAGUUCUUUAAGACCAAAUGGGUCAUUUGCAUGAAUCUUUUGGUGCCAUUCCACUAUAUUCCAGUGCAGAUUCCUCGUUUAUCUUCUAACAUGAUGUUCUUUGACUAUUGAAUUUUCCUUUCUCGGUUCUUAUUCAUGUUCUUUUGGUGCUUUCCAUACUGGGUUAAUACUUUGUAGCAACCCAUUCCUUGUACAUCUUGUUGAAGUCCAAUCAAUCUCAAAUAGUUUUUCCAUUUUCUUCUCAAUGCCACUUCAACCUACAUUUAAAACCAGUGUUGACUCUUUCCAUCCUCCAUGAGCACUUCAUCAAUACUGCACUCAAAGCUUGCAACUUUUUAUUGGAUUUGUUGUCCAUUUUUAUUUGAUACAACGGAUUUAAAAUGUUGCAAAACAAUACGUCAUCUCACCUACUACAAGGUGCCUCCAAUCUUAAUCAACCCUUUCUUGGUGUUGAGGGCUUUCUUUCUAGUAUAUCCGUCAUUCACACUUAGUUUGGGAUUGUUAGAGAAAGCUUAUUAAGUGACUAUGAAGAUUAAAGUGUUUUGAGUUAAUUCCUUCUGCUUAUUUUAAAGGACUUGAAUGUUUAUGUUAGCAAUUCACAUUUCUAUCACCUCUGUUGUAUUAUCAUCUUUGACAAUAACAGGAGUAUAAAAUUUCAUAAUGCAGGUUGCAACAAAAAAGAAAACUAUUUCAGACGAAGCUGCUGUAAUCUUGCAGGCAAAACUGAAGCAGUUAGCACCUGCUAGUUCCUCCUGAUUGCUGUAAUAUUUUAUUUAAUUAUUCAAUUUAUGGCUUCGGGAAAGAACUGCUUUGUAAAACUGUCAGUGUGAAACUUAAGGUCUUUUAUCUGCAUAACAAGUCGAGUGCUUGUUUUUCUGUGCUUUGUUUCAUUCAGAAUCCGGGAUGGUCUUCUCAGCUGAAAUCAAAUCAGACUUGGAUGUAGGCAUUCAGAUAUAUCAAUGUUGACAUGUAAUACACAGUGGGACGAUACUUUUAUUACCUUUACAAAUUAGUUGCGGUAAUCAUGUUUUUCACAUUCUACCUCUUGCCCCACCUUGUUUCUUCUGGUUUUUCAAGUUGAAUAUGGUUACAUCAUUUCGUUUAUCUAUCCCUUGUUUUGCUUUGCUAUAUCAUUUAUAUUCAUGCCAACUGCUGGUAGUAUCAUUUGGAGACUAAGUAAAACAAAUUAGAAGGUUAGAACUUCCAAAUUUGAAACAUUGUAUGUCAUGGUACAUCGGCUCUAAGCUGCUGCGUCAUGUCGUUCAAGCAAUCUCAAGGAUGGAGAGACCAAUCAAAUACAAGUACAAAAGCAACAGAUCGGAAGCAAUGUUCUUGCAUUCACACAAUUAUACGAAUUAGAAUUUAGGAUAAUAACAUAGAGAUAAAAUUUCGUCUCAAAGUUAAUUAAUCACCUCAAUGUAGAAAUCCUCAGCACAUAGUCGAGCAGCAAAGUAAUCUUUGUAGGUAGAUCAAGAAACAAUUACUUUUUCAAAACUUCCUGCUCAAUAUCUUUCUUGACCACACUUUUAAGGAUGAUGAAGUUGGCAUGGUGGGAGAUUGAGAUGGACGACGUGAAGAUGGAGAUGGCUUAGCUGACAAUCGAGGAUGAUCAGAAGUAAAUGGAGGUGCUGCAAGUGAAGGCACAGAUUGACAAAAAGAAGAAGAUGCAGGCGUAGAGAGUGAUGAGGAUGUUUCGUAAGAAGGAAUUGAAGUUUUGGGACCAGAAGAUGAUGGGGGAGCUUCAGCUGGAGAUAGAAGUAGCUAAGAAGAAGCUAAUGCAGGUUUAGGGAAUGGUGGCUUAGAUUGAUGUGAUUUUGGUGAAGAUGGAGAUGGCUUGGAGAAAACUGAAGGGGUUAAUGUUGUAGAGUUCAAUCUUGUGGAAGCUUCAUCAGUUCCUUCCGUAGACUUGUUAACAUAUUCUGAUUGAAUAGACUUAGCACUGGAGGGGUUAAUGUUGUCAAGUCCAAGAUGAAACUAUCUUGACAUUACAAUAAAUGAAGAUCAAAAGCAAGAAUGAUUCCCUUCUGGUUCUUUUACAGAUGGGAAUGCCCGAACAAGACUACAAGAGCUAUUUUUUCUUUUUUAAUUUUUCCCCCCUUUCCAAAGAACGUUUUUGUAUGUAAAAGUAAAGCACCCAAGUCAAUCUCGAUAAUCCAACCAAAAGUUAAAGCGUUGCUUGAGAGAUGAGAGCAUAUUUGAUUCAUGCAAAUGAAGUAAACCCAAACAAGUGAGGCCACGUCAUCAUGUGUUUCCAGAUGCCAUGGCAGACAAGACAUGUGGAAAAUAUAGAAAGACUGCAAGGCUCUUAUUAACUCCCACUUCCAUACUGCCAAAUGUUAUCCUUCUCAGGGAUUAAGAAAAAAUGAAUAAGAUGCCGACUUUUAAGAUAAGUCCAACCGGAAAGCUUCUUUUGGGGCACGAUUCUUAUUCUGAUUCACCCUCUUGCGGGUCCCUAAUCCGUAAUUAAAGAUAUAAAAGAUUCUAACAUCAAAACAUCAUUGCACAACUUUUAAAAGAUUUUAAUAUAUAUUGAUGUUGAGAAAUUCAUAUUGAACUCACUGUACAGGCUCAGAUCGUGCUGUCUUCUCCACUAAAACAAAUUCAGUUGUUGAGGUCGUUUUUGGGCAUCAACAUCUUGGUGCCGUCUGUGGAGACCAAUACAAAAAGCCACACGGAAGAAAUUUAAAUGGCCAAACAGAAAAAUGGUGGGCAUGCGACCACUAUAUGCAAAGGCUGUAUUUCGAAUCGACAAAAAAUGGAGUGAUUAAUAGAACGACCUCAGGAUAAUAAUUGAUCAUAUUACACCCAUUGAUGAUUUAUUAACGGAUCCUGGUAUUAAUUUCAUUAUUGCAUUAUUUUUGUUUUUCUUCUAUCCUCACAGAAAGUUCUAAGUGUCGUUUCUUUAGUACUAUUACAUCCCUCUAAAGGACUGAUUAAAAUCCUUUGGCUUAUUUUUUUUUAAGGAAUUUCAUAUUAUUAUUAUGGAUAGUUUAUUUUUAAGUAGGCCAUCAGAGGAACAAAAUUGUUAGCAAGCUGAGAACAAAGUCUCAUAUUAACAUCCAUUGUGGAAUGGUUAUGUUGUUUGAACAACCUCAAUUCAUUUGUGUUGCUAGUUCUAUUGUUUGGUGUCCCGUACGAGAAUUCUCAACACCACAAAGUUUCAAGAAUUUUAUGGAAACUAAAUACCAAACGCACCACAGAAGAGGAUUUCAGCAAGCAGUCGGUGUCGACAGGCUAGACUCGGGAACUUUUGGAAUUUUGUAAGGUGAUUGCCUACAAUGAAGCCUAUUUGAUGAGACCCGAUCAGAUUAAAAUCUAGCCCAGAGCUGUUGGAUGAAAUAUGCAAAAGAAGUUAAAAGACAACAAAGAACUACCUCAGGUGCAUUUGUUCUAAACUUCAUGCAUAAUAUUUUCACUUAAAAGGUUACUGUUUAGUUAGUUUCAAAUCUCUACUAGACUAAUUUAUUAUGGUAUUGGUUGGUCGAUCUAUUUGCCUUGAUUUGAUAAAGACGAGUAAAGCUCUAGCUCUACAAUUUUUAUAAAUCUUGUUUAUGCAUCAGAGCUAUAGUAACAAAAGGCUUAACAUGAUAUCCGAAAAAUGACCAUUUUACAGAACUGAUUUAGACUGCUCAUCCAAAUUCUAAAUGCGUGAAAUUAUAUUGUCUUUAACAUUAUAGUACCUGAAUGUCUGGAACUUGUCUUAGGCAAUAUAGCGAUUGCAUAUUGUGGUUACGCAUAUAAAUUUAUUUGCUCAAGAGAACUCUGCCCAGAAGCCAAGGAUUGAAAUCCAGGUUCUGUUUCAAUUUAUUCAAUAUGAGCAUGAAAUUAUUUGAAGAGCAUGAAUUAUAUAUACAUUGUUAAUCGAUGCUCAAUUACUACUUUUUCGUGUGAAAAUAUUAUAUAUUAGCUAUGGUAAUGAAUGGUUUUAAUUGACAUUACAUAAUUUCCAAUGACUCUUGAAAAGUGCUAGAAGUAUGAAAAGCAAAUAGCACAAAUUGUUUAAGGCCAAGUGUUGGUCAUGGCUGAUUUUAAAAGUUGACAGACGAAAGAACUUUGAUGUAAAAGUUACAGAGCACAACUUCACAAGUUUGUGAAAGCCAAUAAGGUGUAUAUAUAUAUGGGGGAAUUAUUAGAUCCACCUAUACAUGGAUGUUUGUAUGCUUGGAUGCUUAAUUUUAGAAAGCAAAUUCAAGCCAAUAAGGUGUGUGUAUAUAUAUAUAUAUAUAUAUAUAUAUAUAGAGGAAUUAUUAUAUCCACUUGUACAUGGAUGUUUGUGUGACUGGAUGCUCAAUUUUAUAAUGCAAAUUUAAGUUCUAUUAUCUUAUGGCAUACACAUGUAUUUUCAAAUAUGCGGAUAAUCAACAUUGUAUUUGGUAUAACUUCGAAGAGAAAAUAAGCCAAGCCAUGAAAUUUUAGAGACUUGUUAUAGUCUUAUGAAGCAUAAAUUCUGAGUUUUUCAUGGUUCUUAGCAUCAUUUGAGGUAGAAAACUCUUUUAGCAAAUCAGAUGAGAUAUGGAUAACAAUUGAAGCCCCAGCGAAUAAUUUCACAAUCUUCAGCGCUUGUUUAGUUACUCUAUUAAAAGAAUCAACUAGCUCAUAUUAGGAAAAUUCUUCAUCGGUAUGUUCAUAUUUUGAUUUCGUAUAAUUGUCGUCUAAUGUGUUCAGCUUGGGUUUGAUUUGCUAGCCUUAUUGAGGUCCAGUUAGACUUUGAUAUCAGUGGCCUUGUUGAGGUCGACUUCGACAUCUACAUAUUUGAUUCUACAACUUGAGAUCUACAUCUACAUAUUUGAUUACAAUUUGCGAUCUGCAGCUACAUAUUUGAUUCUAUAAUUUGCUAUCUACGACUACAUAUUUGAUUCUACAUUUUGAGGUUACAUCUACAUAUUUGAUUCUACAAUUUUGAGAUAGAUAUCUACAUAUUUGAUUUCUCAACAUUGAAUUUUGUGGUCUUGUUGAGAUCCACUUUGACUUUUGCAUUUGAUUCUACAAUUUAAUUAUAUAUUUUGAGAUUGACAUCUACAUAUUGAGAUCAAGAUCGCUAUCUUGGCCUUAUUGAGGUCCAAUUGAUUUUAUUCUGCUAGCCUUAUUGAGGUCUAGCUUAAUAAAUUGUUUUGGCAUUAUCGAGGUCUAGCGUGAAUAAAUUAUAUGAUUCGGUCUUAUUAAAAUCGAUGUUGCUGUCUGGGCCUUAUUGAGGUCUAGCUUGAUAAUUUUUUUUUUUUUGCCUUGUUGAGGUCCAAUGUGAAUAAAUUAUAUGAUUCGGUCUUAUUGAGAUCGAAGCCGCCAUUUUGGCUUUAUUAAGGUUUUAUUGAUUUUGUUCUGCUAGCCUUAUUGAGUAGCUUGAUAAAUUGUCUAGGCCUUAUUAAGGUCAAUUUGAUUCUGUUCUGCUAGCCUUGUUGAGGUCUAGCUUGGUAAAAUAUUUUUGCCUUAUAGAGGUCCAAUUGAUUUAUUUUCCUAGCCUUAUUGAGGUUGACAUUUACAUGUUUUAAUUUUGUAAUUUGAGAUCGACCUCCACAUGUUUAAUUCUAUAUGUUAAGGUUGAUAUCUUCAAAUUUUGUUCUACAUGUUUAACUCUACAAUUUGAGGUCAACAUCUACAUAUUUGAUUCUACAAUCUGAGGUCAAUAUUUACAUAUUUGAUUCUACAUUUUGAGAUUAAAUUUAUAUAUUUGAUUCUAUAUUUUGAGAGGCUGGAGGGAUUUUAUUUUUCUAUUUUUUUUUAAGUUUCCAACACCGAUUAUGUCUUCUCGGUAUUGAAAACGAGGGGACUGAUGUUGAUAGGCAGUUUUUAUCCAAACUAAAUCAUUAUUGGUGGUAUAUUGAUCCUAGAAUUAAGGAGUUGAUGGCUCCAUUACCACAUAAAAAGGAGAAAAUGGCCAACUAUCUAGAGGGGGACAAUAUAAGGUAAAAAUAGAGAGAGAGUGGGGGGAGGAACCUUGGGGAUGAUAAUUGGAGAACACGUUGCAUGGCAUUGGGAUGUUGAGAAAUUCAUAUUGAACUCACUGUACAGGCUCAGAUCGUGCUGUCUUCUCCACCAAAACAAAUUCAGUUGUUAGGUCGUUUUUCGGCAUCAACAAUUUUGGGGCACGAUUUUUAUUCUGAUUCACCCUCUUGCGGGUCCCUAAUCCGUAAUUAAAGAUAUAAAAGAUUCUAACAUCAAAACAUCAUUGCACCCAUCAGAAGCAUGCCUCCAAAUCCAAUCUCAGUCGUCAAGAUAAUUCUACUGGCAAAAAUUGAAGUACACAAGUUCUAUUCUGAUAAUUACAACAGAACUAAUCUUUGUCGUAGCAUAAGAACAUAAUUAAUAAUCCAGGGAUGGAGUACUGUGACCUGUAUACAAUUUAUGAAGAUUUUAAUUUUUGUUAAUCUAGGGGAAUGAAAGCAAUCAAUCAUCGCGGAAUUGGACUGCAUGAAUUAGACAGAGCAACAAGUGCAAAAGCAACGGAUCGAAGAAAUGUUCUUACAUUCACGCAUUUACAACAAGGCACAGUAGUAACAAACUCAUGAGAAGUAAACUAAGUUCUAAUAGAGGCUAUUGUUACCGCAGUACUCAAAAGUUUACAGCAUAGUAAUGAACGUCGGAUCAAAAUUGCUAUAGGUCUGGGUGGCAUGAAGUCUUUCAAAAUACGACACCCUUAAUCCCGUCUUCCUAGCAAUAUCGGAGCGGACCCAACUCGUGCGGUUAUUGGGAGCACCGGUGAGUAUCACGGUCGUGUUCUCAUUAGCCAAAUUUGUGAGAGCUAUCAUUGUCUCCGGUUCAGUAGCAGAUGAGGCAUCAAGAAGAAAAAUGUGACUAAAAUGCCCAGCAGGUAUGCCCUCGUUGUGGAGGCGAAAGCUGCUUGUAAAAGUUGAGAAUAUUACCCUGAAUUGUAUCAAUUCCUGAAGUGAAGGCAAUUGAAAACAUUCCCCCCCUUCAUAAAGGCACAAGGGGAGGAUGUCAACUAGUACCCCAUCUACCUCUCUGAAUGCAGCGUUGGCUCGAAACAUAUCAGACUUUGGAAUCUGCUUCUUCAAACUUCUCAUUAGUACAUCACCUGUUCUAUUUAUAGGAGCACAGACUAGAAUUCGACACUUACAUGACCUCUUAUAAAUUUCAAGUACUGCUUCUCGAACAACCAAUCCAGUUUUGGAUAGACUGUCACUAAUUACACAGGGUGGACCCUCUACAAGAUAAGGUGGCCUCCCAUGUAAGCUUAAGAUCCGACGAACUGCAGAGUUGCCAUCUGAGUCAAGGUUACGAUUACCAUAAAGACAAGCUUCUGACGAACUGAUGUUCUUUCGAGCGGUAAAAUCAGGGAAAAUGUAGUUCUCAAAUAAAGAACGUGAUGCAGCUGCAAUUGCUUGGUGAGCUCGUUUCAAACAGACUCGGUUGAAUGAGAAGCUAAUAUCGUAUCUGUACUUUGGAUGAUGCAGUGAAUAAAAAUCUUCUUCAAACUCAACCAACACUACGUUGCUCUUCACCACCCGGUAAAGAAUACCCUGGACAGGAUUUGAGAAAACAAAUAUUCGGGAAAUUAAGGAGAUAUUUUGCGAAGAUAUUCAACCAGAAAAACAAAAUGUCUGGAUAUCCAAGGACUAGGUGACACAGUACAUUUAACUUUAUAUGGAUUCUUUCAGGAUUAACCUGUUGCUCUCAAUGAAUACUUUCUCUCUGUAUCACAUGACUGGGAAAAGAUAAAAUGAAUUCUGAAAAGGAAAUAACAUUGUUGGCUGAUGCUUUGUUGAGCCGCUAAACAGGCCGGAUGUCCUCAAACAAAAACUAUAACAUGAUCUUACACACCGGCCUUUCGUUCCUCAUCUAAAGUUCAAACUGAGCAAUAGUUUGCAUUAAGUAGGUUUGAAUUAAGUAGGUUUGCAGAAUUUCAAAUGUCAUAAUUUAUAAAUUAUAUUGAUAGCUGCGACUAGAAUUAUAUUCCAAAAAUUUGAAAGCAUAGGGAGAAAGAAGCAUAAAAUAGAUUCUCAAUUUGGCAGAAGAUAUGAAUAUUUAUCACUAAAAGAGAUUCUACAAAUUCUUAGUUUGAAAGCUCAUGAGACCUACUUGAAACUCCUUGCCGUUGCUGCCUGAACGUCGAGCGUGGACAAAAUCUCUAGAUAAUAGAAAUGGUCGUCUCUCAGGAACAGAAUCAAUUUCAAAGGCUACAAAGAGUUUAUCAUCCUUCUCAUCACUCUCCUCCAGAUUCUUGUUCUUGAGUGACUUAUCAUAUAUUGCAGCUUUAUGCAACUCCAAUGUGACAUUGAAUAACUGAAAACCGCUCCACUUCUGAUCAAAUCAAAGCCAUUAUUAUAUCUAAACACAAUUAGGAAGUAUGAAAGAAAGCACUUGGAUGAAACUGUAAUGUUUUUGGUCCGUAGACGCAUCUUGCAUUCAAUCAUCUAAAACAUGUAAGAUUCCUUUUGUACCAAAUAUUGUUAUCUUCUAUGAAGAGUCGAUAUGGGCUGUGUGUACAGAGUAAGUUGCAGCUAAAGCAGUCCACUAGGGCUGCCUAUCUCUGUUAAAUUGCCUACCAACACAAAAUGCACCAAGAUUAUCAAUAACACCAGAAUGUUACUAAUUUGGUGCUUUGAUGUUUUUACUUACUCGCAAAUCUAAACAGGCUUGUCUCGAGAAGCCUAAUUGGUAAAUCUAGCGACAAACUGAGACAGAGAUAUAAAAUAUAAAAUCAUGUAUCUCCAGUAAAACAUGUUUGAUGGUUGCUAAUUACAGCACCCAUAUGAUGUUUUAUCGUAUACAAGUUAAGCUCAAACAUUCCGAAGGGGGUAGUAAUGCACUAACCACAACAAAGGUGUCUUCCACCGAACAGCCACAGCACACAAUAUACGUUUGGUAGCAAUGAAGUUAUGUAUAAUGUAUAUGUAUAUGUAUAUGUAUAUAAAUAGAUAUGCAUAUAUAUAUAUUAGGGUUCUAUCAUUUUGAGGUCACUCAUGAGGUAUGCUUGACCAAGAAUCAAUGGAUCAAUUUUGAAUGGAAUGAUAUAAUAUCCUAAGAUAUUAAGUGAUCAUUUAGUAGAAGAUCACUCCAACAAUAAUUUAACCUUAUUUAACGAUGAUCACGGAGAAAGGUACAAGAGACAAGCUAGAGACAGACCAUUGAGCUAAGGAAUGCAAUUUGAGAGAAUUUGAGCCAAUAUUUCAAGCAUAGAGACAAGCCAUUGAGCUAAAGAGUGCAAUUUGAGAGAAUUUGAGCUAAGAUUUCAAGCUUAGAGGGUUCUUGCAACGUGAUCUCAGGGAAUUUUCCGGCUUUGUGAUCAUCUUCCGACCAGAAGUCAGUAGCACAACCUUAGCUUGUCGAUUUACCGCACAUAAUCUGAGUAUGUAUCUAAAAUCGAAUUUUAUGAGUUUUAUGUUGAUUCUUGCUUGAAAAUCAACAUACACGAAAUGAUACUAGAAAGAAUAACAUGCAAAAAGGUCACUGUUAAUUAAUCACCUCAAUGUAGAAAUCCUCAGCGUACAGCAGAGCAGCAAAGUAGUCUUUGUAAGUCGAUGGAGACAAUGGCUUCUGCAAAACGUCAGGCACGAUGUCUUUCUUGAUCAAAUCUUCAAUAUCCUCAGGAAUCUUGUAAUUAGAGGCACCCUUCUCGACCAAUAUAUAGCGAUCAUUUUCCUGCUGAUAUUUUGAAUCAGGAGGAAGCCGAGAAAGGGUAGGCUGAGAAGAUGAAGGCGCCUUCUGAGACAAUGGAUUCUUCAAAUCUUCAGGCUCAAUAUCUUUCUUGAUCGGACUUUCAAUAUCCUUGGGAUAGUUAGCUUUCAUCUGGUCCUCCGUUGGAUUAAAGCAGAAUGGGCACCGAGUGGGCUUAGAGGACUGAGGGGCUUUUGGGAAUGAUGCGCCCUUCGGAACCCGUGUAUUAUUAGAUUUCAUCUGCUCAUUUGUUGGAUUAAAGCAGAGUGGACACUGAGUGGGCUUAGAGGACUCAGGGGUGCUCGGGGAUGAUGAAAUUGGCACGGAGGGAGAUUGAGAUGGACCACAUGAAGAUGGAGAUUGCUUAGCAGAUGAUCGAGGUUGAUCAGAAGUAAGGGGAGGUGCCACGGGUGUAGAGAACGAGGAGCAUGCUUUAGAAGAAGGAAUUGAAGGUUUAGGACUAGAAGAUGAUGGUGGAGGUUCAGUUGGAGAUACGGAUGGCUUAGAAGGAACUGAUGCAGGUUUAGGGAGUGAUGGCUUAGAGGAAAAUGGAGGUUGUGAUGUUCUAUAUUUCAAUCUCGAGGACGCUUCAUCAGUUCCUUCCAUAAACUUGUUAACAUAUUCUGAUUCAAUAGACACAGCUCCAUUCCUUUUUGUAGUUGAGCUACUAGUUGGUAAAUUCGGGUAAUAAUCGUAGUACUUGAUUUGGGUUCGAUCAGAUUGGUCUUGCCGAUCGUUAUUCUCAUAACUAGAAUUCCUAACAGAAGAGUUAAGUGAAGCUGAUCCGUGUGAAGGGUCUCCCUUCGAAGUCUUACUUUCAGUUCCAUGAUCUUGGUCGCUUGAAAUGUAUCGCAAAAUUUUACCUAACACAUACACUGCGCAGCCUAUGAACAUCCACUUAAACAUCCUGCGGCGAAAGCAAAAUAAAGAAGAUUGAACAGCAUUAAAGAAAUCAAUAAACUCAUGCAUGACGCUGUAAGUGCUAGUAAGAUGAAACUAUCCUGAAAUCAAAAUAAGUGAAGAUCAAAAGCACGAUUGAUUACCUCCUGGUUCUUUUGUUACAGAUGAGAAUACUGGAACACAAGUACACAAGUGGUUUUUCAGUUUAAUCUUCCUUUCCAAAGAACGACUUACACACAGUAUAAAAGGCACUCCAACACAACUAAAGAAUCCAGAAGUUAAAAGCUUUGCAUGGGAGAUGAAAGCAUAUUGUUUCUUGCAUAGAAAACUCAACCAAGUGAGGCCACGUCAUCAUGUGGACCCAGGUGCGGCAUAUAAAAAGAGUGGAUGAGAGUUGUCAGUAAGCUGAAAAAGUUUUUUUUUUUAAUUUAAAAAGAGUGCGGCAUAUAAAUUUUUUAAUUUUAUUUAACCUAUAAAAAGUUUUAAUUUAACAAGACUGAAAAAGGUUGGGAAAUUUACACCAAUAGCCAUAAAAAUUUUGACUUUUUUCAUCUUAACCCCCAAACAAACUUCUAUCAACAUUAGCCAUAAAAAAAUCUUUGAGACCAAAAUACCCCUCUCUCUCAUCUCCAUAAUGUUGGUGAGCUUGCCUUGGCGCAACAACUCGCCGAUUCUGUCAAGCCUUUAAAUCAGCCAUGGCGGCAGUAGAAACACGCUCCAUUUCGGAAAUGGCGUCGUCAGAGAUUUUGGACUCGGUUUCACUGACCUCGUAAUCUUCAAGAUCAGAGAAGCUCGCUCUGUCUCGGACUUCCCUACGUGGGCUGCCGGAAGAGCAUCUGUUGGAGCCCGUUGCCUGGAAGUGUUGGUGCGACAGGCGCCUGUCGCACCAAGUGUUGGUGCGACAGGCGCUUCGGAAAUGGCGUCGUCAGAGAUUUUGGACUCGGUUUCACUGACCUCGUAAUCUUCAAGAUCAGAGAAGCUCGCUCUGUCUCGGACUUCCCUACGUGGGCUGCCGGAAGAGCAUCUGUUGGAGCCCGUUGCCUGGAAGUGUUGGUGCGACAGGCGCCUGUCGCACCAAAACUUGGUGGUUCUUUCUACCCCUUGACCCUUCAGGCGAGUUCUCCCUCUCUUCCUUCUCCACCUUGACCACCACUCUGGAAGUGUCUUCCUUUUGUUCUGUAGAGAAACCGUAGCUUUCCAAAUCAAUAAUUAGUUGAUUACCAGUAGGAAGGAACUUGCUAGCUUCCUCCAUUCCUUUCUUGAACUGCAGGAUAGACUCCCUAUCACUAAGCAUGUUCUGAGCCAGAAACUCGUUCACAGAACUCAUCAACCCACUGCCAAUAGUAGUCAUGCUAUCUGGUGGGUUGACAGAAAAUUGCGAACUAUGCUGCUGUGAAUUGGACUUCGAAUGGUAAUCCUCAGGUAAAGGGUUUCGUAAAAAAGAGCCAUUAAAUUCUGCAGUAUCACCAACCAACAGUGAUUCGACAAAAUCACUGCCGCCGCUACUGGUGCUACUAACAGCACCAGAAUCACUAUUAAAAUCACUGCUAUUAUUAGAAAAUAUAUUGCUUUUCUCACCACUCCCGGAAUUCAGGUAGACAUAGGGUUGAGGUUGAUUAAGUGAUGGAGGAUAGUAUGGCUGCCGCUCACCAAGUACUUCAUACAACGAUCUCUCAGUGGCUUGUAAAGCCAACGGAUCAUAAAACAUACACGGCUUCUCCUCCAUUUUCUCUUCCAUGAGCAUCUGGCUUAUGUACUUGAGAACUGGGUUUGAAGAAUCACUGUCAUCCGAGGGAGAGGAAGCCUCUCCUUCCGGACUCCAGCCUGAGGACCGAGCAAAGGAGCUUCCAUCCGGGCUUAAACUCGUAGAGGCGCCCAAAGAUUCUAAGUCUGGACUCGCAGUUGAGGAUGGAGUGAUGAUACCAGGAUCAGGAUUAAGGGGAUUAAAAGGGAUAUCUAAAAAGUUUAGAUCAGGUGAGGGAAUAGUGAACUUGAAUCCAUUUUCAGUAUUUGAGUACUGAUUUGCAUUUGGUACAACGGUUUCAUCAUCAACUUUGAAACCACUAAUGAAAUCAGAAAACCGAUUGGAAUUUGGAUCCAUGGAAAUCGCAACAGCCAAAAGCCUCAACUCUAAAUCUAAGUUCAAAAUAAAAUAAUGGAGAUACAAAUGCAUGACGGUGACAAGCUGCUAAUUCAUAAACUGUGUACGUAUUUUGUGUAGGGUUUUGAGUUUUUUAAGUACGUACUAAAUUACUCUUAUAGGAAAUAUAUGGUUGUUGAUUGAUUAGGCUACUUAACUGCGUCUAACUAGCUAGGGCUCAAAGUAAUCCGACGCCGCCGACGAUGGGAGGUUCUUCGGUUUGGGAGAGAUGGGAGAAAGAGAGAUUGUUGGGGGAGAGAUGAGAGAGAGGGGUAUUUUGGUCUCAAAGGCUUUUUUAUGGCUAAUGUUGAUAGAAGUUUGUUUGGGGGGUUAAGAUGGAAAAAGCCAAAAUUUUUAUGGCUAUUGGUGUAAAUUUCCCAAAAAGGUUCCACUUCUAUACUGCCACACACGUCUCUUAUUCUUCCCCGGGUUAAUUAAUUAGAUGCCAACUUUUAAAUUAAGUCCAACCAAAAAGCUAAUUUUGUGGCAUGAUAUUCUCUCAUCCCAUAAUAUGCUUAUUCUGAUUAACCCUUUUGCGGUUCUUAAUCCUUAUUCCUUAACAAACGAACUAAAAGAUUCUAACAUCAAAACAUCAUUUCACCCAUUAAAAGACGCCUCCAAAAUCCAAAUCCAAUCUUGAUUAGGGAUGGUAAAUUGGUCCAUCCAAAUUAGAUAUCUAUAUAUCCAAUCUAAUUGAAUUGGAUAAUAUCCAUCCAAAAUUUUUUGGAUAUGGAUAUGGAUAUUUUUAAAAAUAUUCAAUUAGAUAUUGAAUGGGUAUAAAUAUUUAAUGGAUAUUCAAAAUCUAAUUAAUUUAUCUAUUUAAAGUUAAAAAAAUUUAUAUUGUUAAACUAAAAUAUAAAAAAAACAAAAUCUAAUUUUCUCUUAUAUUAACUAGUGAAAAAUUUAAAUUCCUCUUAUAUUAAAAACUAAAGUUUUCAAAAUUACCCUUUAAUUUUUUAACUUAUUUAAUACUAUUAAUAAUUAUUAUUUUAUUUUAUUGAUUUAAUAUUAUAAAUGGACCUCCACCGGAAAGUCGCCGGACCACCGUCGGUUUUGCCCGGAACGUCGCCGGACCGCCGCCACCGGCCACCGAACCACCAUUUUAUUUUUUUAUAUAUAUUAUUACUAAUAUAAAUAGUUUAAAAGCCAAAUUUGAUAUUGGAAUUUUAACUAUUUUAUUUUUAUAUAAUAAAAAUAAAAUAUCCAUGGAUCUCCAUAACUAUAUGGAUAAAAUCUAUAUCCAUAUCUAAUAUUAAAUAUUGGAUAUGAAUAUAUCCAUUAUGGAUAAUUAUAGAUUUGUGUUUGGAUGGAUAUUAUCCAUCCAUAAUUGAAUAUUUGUCAUCCCUAAUCUUGAUCGACAAGAUGAAUCUACUGGCAAAAGAUGCCUCCAAACCAAUAUUGGUGGUUAUGAUACUUCUACCGGAAAAAUCGAAGUAGUCAGCCCGCUCAAGCGCAUGAGUUCUAUUAUGAUAGUCAGAACAGAACUAAAAUGGAGACAGAAAAUGCAACGACCUGCACACAAUUUAUGAAGAUUUCAAUUUUUGUUGAUACAUGAGAAAGAAAACAUUCAAUCAUCAUGGAAUGCAUGAACUAGAUAGAGCAACAAGUACGAAAAUAACAAAUCAAUUAAUCUUGCAGUCAGACAAUUACAACAAGGCAUUGUACCAAAUUCACGAGAGGAAAACUAAGUUAUUUAGAGGUUGCUGUUGCUGCAAUAGCAGAUAAGAUUUACGACAACAGAAGGAUAAAAGAGUUCAUCUCAAAGUUUACACCAUUGUAAUGAACAUUGGGUCAGAACUGCUAUAGGCCUCGGUCACACGAAGUCUCUCAAAAUAUGACAUCCUUAACCAAUUAUUCCGAGCAAUAUCAGUGCAGAACCAACUUGUACUGUAAUAUCUCAAUUCUCUUAAUGGUAUUUUAGUCUUUUCAAUUUGUUAGUGAUAUUUGUAUUUUAGUAUAAAAAGAAUAAGAUGCUUUGUCUUUAUCAUUGAAGAGAGAGAAAGAGAUUGGCUAAAAAAAAGAAAGAAAGAAAGAAAGAAAGAAAGAAGAAGAGAAGAAGUCUUCUUCGUCGUAUAGCCAUAAGCAACACAUAAGAUUAAAGUUGUGUAAUUUGAAUUUGAUAUUAUGUUGGGAGAAGAUUGGAGGUAAAUUUUAAUUCUUGGUUUUUGUUAAUUUAUUAUGAAGAAGUAUGAUUAGAUAAUUGUAGUAGAAGUAGAAACUUAAAAUUUUACAGAAAAUAUGUUGACAAUGAGUUAUUUCGAAAAUCAUAGUAAUUUGUACAUAUUGAUUUUGAUUCUUGAUUUUGGAUAUAUUAAAUCAGACAUCUUCAAGAAUGUUUUGAAGUUUGUUUCGACCAAUCAUAUAAGAAUUCAAUUUAUUACGAUUUUUUUAACUCAAGUCCAAAAACUUGAGAAUUUCUAAUUUCAGUGAAGAACAUGAAUUACGAAACUAUUUUACCGUAGCUAUAUUUAUUAAAAAAUGAUGAAAUUUGGACUAGUGAUUUUUAUGUAUGUCUAGAGUGAUUUAGGAAAAUUUCAUCAUUUUAUGAUAAAACAAUAAAUUGUUUUGUAUUUUUAAAAGAAAUAUGUUCAAAACAGAAAACUAUUUGACAUAAUUGAUAAUGUUUGAAAUGUAAUUAUUGCAAAAGUUUUUGAAGGAAUUAAGCUAUGAAGGUUUAAGCAUUGAAUUUCUAUUAUGUCAGCAUAUGCCUUGUAAAAUUUGAUGAUAUUAGAGUUUAUGAUUAUAAUUUGAUUAUAUGUGAUCAGAGUUUUGUUAAUGAUUUUUAGGUCGAUUAUAUCAAUAUGCAUUUUUUAUAUGUGGAUGCCAAGACAUAAGUAAACUAAACUUCUAAAUGAAUCAUAAUAAACAAUAUGUACAUAUUUGAAAAUUUUUAAAAAUCUAUAUUUGAUAUGUACGGAUAUGAAUUUAUAUGAUUUUGCCUAUUUAUUUACGUGAUGUGUUGUUAUGUGUUUAGCGAAAUUAUGCGGACAGCAUAAAGUAUAUGCGAGAGUUCAUUGGCACAAGAAUGAAUAUGCAUUAAGUUUUGUAUGAAAUGAGAAAGUGGACAAUAUCUUUCUUGAUUAGACUUUCAAUAUCCUUAGGGAUCAUGUAAAUAGGUGAUGUCCCUUUUCUGAAUCCAUGUAUAUUUAGCUUUCUUCUAUUGAUUUGUUAGAUUAAAGCUGAGUGAAGAUAGAGUGGGCUUACAGGACUGAGGAGGUUUUUGGGAUGAUGAAGUUGGCAUGGAAGGAGAUUGAGAUAAGCCACAUAAAGAUGCAGUUGACUUAGAUGAUGAUCAAGGUUGAUCAGAAGUCGAUGAAGAUGCUACAGGUCUAUAGAAUAGUGAAGUUGCUGGUGAUCGAGGUUGACCAGAAGUGGACAUGCUGCAGGUCUAUAGAAUGGUGAAGACGCUGAGGAUCGAGGUUAAUCAGAACUAAGUGGAGAUGCUGCAGGUCUACAGAAUGAUGAAGAUGCCGAUGUUCGAGGUCGAUCAGAAGUAAGUGGAGAUGCUGCAGGCCUAGAGAAUGGUGAAGAAGCUGAUGAUCGAGGUUGAUCAGAACUAAGUGGAGAUGCUACAGGUCUAGAGAACGAUGAAGAUUCUGCAGGUCUAGAGAACGAUGAAGAUGCUUCAUUAUUCUCAAGACUAGAAUUCCUAACAGAAGUGUUGUAGGAAGGUGAUCCGAGUGAAGGGUCUAUCUCUGAAGUCUCAUUACUAGUUCCAUGAUCUUGGUCCUUGAAAAUGUACAGCAAAAUUUUGCCUAAUGCACACACACUGCCGGACAACAUCAACUUAUACGUCUUGGUGAGCAAGAAGAAACAAUGAAGUUACUGUGUAAUGCAUUUAAUCAAAUUGACAUUAUCCAAAUGAUGAAAAUCAGAAACUGAAGUUUCUCUGUAACCAAGAUUACUUAUAGUGGAAAUCAGGGGGGCCAAUUAGAGGAUAAAUGAACCCAUCAAAAUUUUGUUGAUUAGUAAUGUAAGAGAAUUUUAAACAUCAUUUGAUAAAAUUUAAGCAAUCAUACUGAACCAAAGUGCAUGAGAAAAUGUAAAAUCGUAUUAUAUUAGUACAAGUUAAUUGAAUGUUAAAAGUAUGUGGACAGAAGAUUAAGCUCCCCUAAAAACAGAAGAACUAGCAAUCAAAUAAAGCAUGCAUGACUCUAUGUUCAAGUAAGAUGAAACUCAAAACUAUUCUUCCCUAAGAUGAAAAGAUUUUAAUUCUUGAAAUAAAAAUUAAUGAAGAUCAAAUGCAAUAUAAUUACCAUUUGGUUCUUGAGCAGAUCAAGAAUGCUAGUAGUCAAGGAUCCGUUUUUUAUUUUUAUUUGUACUAAAGACAAUUUUUGUGAAAGCACUAAAGAAGAGUCCAAAGGCAAAGCACUUUACUGCAGGAGAAGACGAGGAAAAAAGUGUGUGUGUAUAUAUAAAUCCAUAUAGUAUGGACUAUGUCACAGAUUCUGUUUGUAAUAUAGCAAAUGGAAAGCUUGCACGCGUGUUGGAUGAGAGAGAAAAAGCUGCUGAUGCAAGGUCAUGCAAGCUUACCUUGCCAAAGCUGUUACUUGCAGAAGCCGCAACUUAGCCUCAUCCAUAUAUAUAGACACACACACGAGCAAAAUAUUUCUGGCUUUGAGUGAAAUAAACCCAGCCAAAGAGAGGAGUACCGAGACCACGUAAUUUCAACAAAAAGUGCAAGUGGGGCCGCGUACAUCUUCAUGUAGAUCCACAUGACUUGUUUUUCUCAUUUCAAAGACUUCAUUACAAAGUGCAACUUAUUCUUUGAAUGGAUAAUCAAUGAAUUCCGAUCAUAUUAAAAAAUAAAAAUAAGUAAAACCAGAACGCGCUUAGUUUAUUGUCACAGCGCCUCUUGCUUAGUGGUGUAUUAAUCAGCUUGUGUUUUAUGGGCUAAUUUUCUCGGUCAAUGAAUGAGAACAGUCUAAUCUUUGUAUAUAAACAGUAACAAGUAUUGAACUGUCUUGCAGAGGAAACGUUCUCGCAUCUACACAUACACAACGCAAGUAGUAACAACAUCAUGAGCAGCAAAUUAGUUACAGGAGAGGUUUCUGUUAGUUACUCCGCUACCAGACUGAUAUGGGGGAAUGGAAGAAAGCUAUCCGACUUCUUCUGUGAAAAGUUGAGAGAAGAACAUUGAGUUGCAACUCCUAUAUGCCUUGGUCAGACAAAGUCUUUCAAAAUACGACAUCUUUAAUCCAUUCUUCCUAGCAAUAUCCGAUCGAACCCUACUUGGACUGUUAUGGGGUGCACCAGUGACUAUUACUCUCGUGUUCUCGUUAGCCAAAUUACCAAGAACUAUCAUUGUCUCUGGCUCGGUGGCAGAUGAUGCGUCUAUGAGAAAAAUGUGACUAAAAUGCCCAGCAGUUAUUCCUUGAUUAUGAAGGCGAAAGCUACUCACAAAAGUUGAAGAUAUCACCUUAUAUUGCCUCAGUUCCUCAAGUGGAGGACAAGAAAAACACUCCCGUUCAACAAGUGAUACCUGAAAGAUUUCAUCUGAUACCCCAUCCACUUCUCUGAAUGCAGCAUUGGCUCGAAACAUUUCUGAUGCCGGAAUAUCCUUCAUCAAACAUUCCAUUAGCUUAUCACAAGUUCUGUUCCAAGGAGCACAUAUAAGAAUUCGACUCUUAGGCGAGCGCUGACGAAUUUGGAGCACUGCUUCUCGAACGACAUUUCCAGUUUUUGAAAGUACAAAAUUAUUACAGAGUGGACCCUCUAGAAGAUAAGGUGAUUGGCCCUCAAAGCUUAAUAUCUGAUGCACUGCAGAAUUGCUAUCCGAAUCAAGUUUAUAAUUGCUAUAAGGACAAAGUGAUGGGUAAGGGAUGCUCUUUCUGGAGGCACAAUCAGGAAAAACGUAGUUCCUGAAUAAAGAAUCUGAUGCAUCUGCAAUUGCUUCGUGAGCCCGUUUCAAACAGACUCUGUUGAAUGAGAAGCUAACAUCAUAUUUGUGGUUGGGUUGAUGCUGAGAAUGAAAAUCUUCUUCAAAUUCAACUAAAACAGUAGUCCACUUAACCACUCGAUAAAGGAAACCCUGGUCAGGAUUUGAGAACAUAAAUAUUCUGGAAAAGAUGGAAAUAUGAACAAACAACAAACAAAAUGAUUGAAUGAUGAUGACCUAGCUAGUUUUGAUGUUAUCAAUUUGUACCAAUCCUUUCAAGAUUAACCAGAUGGAAAAUGAUCCAGAUAUGUACAAAAAAUAGUUUCAAAGUUACAUGACCAGCAAAAUGCUAAGCUGACUGGGUGUCCUUGUGCGAAAUUAUAAUCUAUCUUAAAACAGAGCAUUUGUUCUUUAAUCUGAAGUUCAAACCAAAAAAAUGGUUGGUUACAUAAAAAUCGAAAGGAAUGGCCAAAUUAGAUGCCACUUAUACGUAAAAAGUUUAUGCACUUGAUCACUUGUAUGAAAUUCAAGAGAUAGUCUUGUUAACUUACCAGGGACUACAGAACAUGAAUCUGUCAGGUCCAGUUGUUGAGUUAGGAAUAAGUUUAAUUUUGAAAUUUUAUUUCUCCUUAUUUAUUUUGGCUAAUUGAUUUAGUUUUCAUCACUUAUUAGUAGCAGAUCUCUCUUCGGUUAGAAGUUGUAUUUUUGGUUCUUUGUUGGCUAAAAUAAAUAGGACUAAAACUACGUAUUUUAUUAUGAUUUUUAUUGAGAUAACAAAAAAUGGGUAUCUCCCUCACUUCUAUCCAUCUCUUUUUCCACACUUGGACUUUUCUCUCUACUCACUUUCACUAUUCUCUACAUUUUUUAUUUUUUCAUUCUCUAUCUUUCUUUUCAAUUUGGCUGAUAUGCACAUUUGUCACCAAAGCACAUCGAGAGAUUUUAUAAAUCAAAAGUUUGAAAGAUCAGGAUACUUACUUGAAACUUCUUGGAUUUGCCACCUGAACGUUGUGCAUAAACAAAAUCUCUAGAUAAAAGAAAGGGUCGCCUCUCAGGAACAGAAUCAAUUUCAAAGGCUACAAAGAGUUUAUCAUCCGUCUCAUCACUCUCCUCCAGAUUCUUGUUCUUGAGUGACUUAUCAUAUAUUGCAGCUUUAUGCAACUCCAAUGUGACAUUGAAUAACUGAAAACCGCUCCACUUCUGAUCACAAUGAAAGCCAAAAAAAUUAUCUAAAAAGUUAGAAAAGCAUGAAAAAUCUUUGAUGAAAGUUUUCAGUCCACAGCAACAUCUAAUCAUCUUAUUAUAAAAAUGUAAGCUUUGGAUAGAGAAGCUUGGAAGAAUACCUACAAGAAUAAAGAUAUGACAGAAUACAUAAAUACAAAUACAACUGAACUGCAUUCACUGAAUAAAAGCAUCUGUCCCAAUAAUUUGCGCCCAUGGGGAAUAAUCUAACCAAAAAAUAACAAUAAAGAAACAACUUACUAUUCAAAAUAUCAGAGUUUCCAAUCUUUUUAUUCAUCAUGCUAUCUUAUGUUAAGCAAAAGACGGUAAAUAGAUUUUGGAUUUCCUUCAGUUUGUUUUCGAACCUGACUGAAAUAUACCUCAAGCCAACACUCUAAAAAUCGUGUUCCUAAACAUUUCAGUUUUAGGAAAUUAGUGAUGUACAAAUUGCACCAAUCUUGUUAUAAUCUGAUGCAAACUAAUAAUUUUUCAGUGGUUUUACUAGGGGUUCUGCAAGUAACAUUAGUUGGGUAUGGAUGGCACCAUUCACUAUGAUAUAACCUAAAGAACUCUUUAAUAAUUUAUGCCGUUUGGUUCUAAAUUUCUUAUACGAACAGGUUAGAUAGAUUCUUCAAGAGGUCCCACAACACAUAAAUUUGAUUCAAUCCAACCUGUUGCCAGUUCAAAACAUAUCCCUUUCAACAGAGCUCCUUAGAAUUCUCAACAAUCUAACCCAUGACUCAACUUUGAUUUAUUGUAUUUGUAUGUACUAUUUAUUUUGAAAAUCUAUUCCAUUAACAUGAUGUACAAUUGCACAUAGAUGACUUCUUCCGAGACCAUUUUAAUUGCAGCAUAACCAUGAGCGAGUGGUAUUGCAUUAAUCACAAUAGAUAUGUCUUCAAUGAAAAGCAAGUAUAUACAUGAUAUGAUGGUAGAAAUGAGAUUAUCUCACAUGAAAUCAUGCAAUAAAGAAAAAUGGGGAUCAAAGGCAUCAUUUAUUAAUCACCUCUUCGUAGAAAUCCUCAGCAUAUAGCAACGCAGCAAAGUAAUCCUUGUAGGUAGAUGGAAGCAAUGGCUUCUUCAAAACUUCUGGCACAAUGUCUUUCUUGAUCAAAUCUUCAAUAUCCUUGGGAAUCUUGUAAUUAGUUGCGCCUUUCUGGACCCAUAUAAAGCUAGCCUUUUUCUGCUGAUUUGUUGAAUCAGUGGGGAGUGGAGAAAGCAUGGGCUUAGAAGAUGAGGAAGCCUUAUGGAACAAUGGAGAAGAUGGCUUCUUCAGAACUUCAUGCACAACUUCUUUCUUCAUGAAAUUUUCAUUAUUCUUGGGAGUCAUGUAAACAGGUAAUGUGCCCUUCUGAACCCAUGUGUCAUUUCCUUUUGUUUGUUGAUUUGUUGAAUCACUGGGGAGGGGAGAAGGAGUAGGAUUAGAAGAUGAAGGGGACUUAUGGGAUGAUGGAUAAGAUGGCUUCGUCAAAACUUCAGGCAUAGCUUCUUUCUUCAUCAAAUUUUCAUUAUUCUUAUGAGUAAAGUAAACAGGCGAUGUGCCCCUCUGAACCCAUACACGGUUUCCUUUUGUUUGUUGAUUAGUACAAUCAUUAGGCACUGGAGAAAGAGCAGGCUUCAAAGAUGAAGGGGUCUUCUGGGACAAAGGAGAAGAUGGCUUCUUCAAAACUUCAGGGGCAGCUUCUUUCUUCAUCAAAUUUUCAUUAUUCUUGGGAGGCAUGUAAACAGAUGAUGAGCCCUCCUGAACCCAUAUAUCCAACAACAAGAAUAUACAACAGAUGAUGGUAGAAAUGAAUAUGUAUUGCAUGAAAUCAAACAAUAAAGUAAAUCAGGAAGAAAGGACAUAAGUAAUUAAUCACCACAUGGUAGAAAUCCUCGGCAUAUGGCAGUGCAGCAAAGUAAUCUUUGUAGGUAGAUGGAGACAACGGCUUCUUCAAAACGUUAGGCACAACGUCUUUCCUACUCAAAUCUUCAAUAUCCUUAGGAAUCUUGUAAUUGGAUGAGCCCUUCUCGACCAAUAAACAGCUAUCCUUUUCCUGCUGGUUUGUUGAAUUAGGGGGGAGGGGAGCAAGGGUAGGCUGAGAAGAUGGAGGAGCCUUCUGCAACAAUGGCUUAUUCAAAACCUUAGGUGCAGUGUCAUUCUUUGUCGAAGUAGAACCAGAUGAAGAUUGAGAUGAUUUAAAGGGAGAAAGAGAUUCAGGUGGCUUAGCAGUUAAUUGAUGUUGAUCAUAAUUAAAUGAAUGUGGUUUGAGUGAUGAUAAAGACUGACUAAGAGCAGACGAUGCAGGGCUAGACAAUGAUGAAGAUGCUUUUGAAGAAGGAAUUGCAGGUUUAGGGAAUGAUGAAGAUGAAUUGCUGGAAGAUGAUGGAGCGGGUCCUUUCGGUGAUAGAAAUGGCUUAGAUGAAGCAGAUGCAGGGUUAGGGAAUGAUGACAAUUGUGUUAAGGACUGUGAUUUAUUAGGUGAUGAUGAACAUGUGUAACAGGAGGAUGAAGGUGGUGAUGGUCUUGAGCUCUUUAAACUCUGAGACACUUCAUUAUUCCCUUUCAGUGACGAUUUGUCACCAUAUUCUGUUUGUUGUGACAUAGCAUUAGGCUGCUUUGUAGUUGGCUCACUAAUUGACACAUUCGGAUAAUAUUCGUAGUAAUAGAUUUUGUUUGAAUCAUGUUGACGCAGAAGAUCGUGAUUAGUAAAGCUAGAAUUCCUGACAGAAGAGUUGUGAUAACUAGAAUUCCUGACAGAAGAGUUGUGAUUAUAUGUUCCAAGUAAUCUCGCCUGGUAGUCCCUUUCAGUAUCAUGAUAAUCUUCAUCGUAACAGCAAAAAAUGCAUCUCAAAAUUUUAACGAGCACAGACAUGUUGCUCUGCAACCAAAGAACAUCCAUUUAUACAUCUUUCCUCUAUUUGGUUUUAUCAAGAAUACAAAUAAACAAUAAUAAUAAUCAGCUGCACUGAGUACAUCUCUAUGAAAUCUAAUUAACUCUACAGUCUGUUUUUAACCAAGACAACUAAAAAUCAAGGAAUAAUUAGAGGAUCAGGCAUAUAAAUUAAAUCAAACAUGCAAAUCAAUUUAUGUUUAGAGAGAGAUGCAGAGAGUGAUAAUUUGAAUCCCUAUAGUUCAUUUGAUGAGAAAUCUUAGGGUUGAAGUUUGUAACAAUGAAUAGAUGAACUUAAUUACACCAAAGAAAGUAAUUAUCAUUCUGAAACUAAAUGAAUGAGAGAAGUCUUCGUCUUUGUUACACAAUUAAAAAUGAUAAGUCUGAACAAGAAAGAGACUGCAUGUUGUUGAAAUGUUAAAAGUAAAUUGAACCCCAUUAAACACUAGAAGCUAUGACUAAUCUAUGCACGACUGUAACCAUAGGCAAAGAUUAUAAACAAUGUUGACAUCAAAGUAAAUGAAGAUCAAAUGGAAGAAGGAUUACCUUCUGGCUGUUGUGCAGAUGUGGGAUUAUGGGGAUGAUUGUCGGAUCAGUUUUUCUGACUUUAUGUUCUUCAAAGAACUCGGUGACAGUGAAAGUGAAGCACUUCAAAAGCCAUGGAUGAGUAGGCAGGAAAAAGAAGAGCUCGUACGUUUCUAGUAUUAUACAAACCCAACCACGUAUCGCCACGUCAUCACUUGCGCCCGCGACAAGGGCUUUAAUGACUAGAUGAGAUGAGACAGUGAAAGCUGACCAAAGCGGAAAUUUUGCGGAGUCCGGGGUUCCAAAUUUCCAUUUCCCACCAAUAAAGCAAUAAAUGUAUUAUUAUAUUUACAAUCAAAAAGAUUAAAAAUAAGCGAGCGUUCAUAUUUUGAGAGAUUUUUCAUUCUUGGGCUUUUAGUGCGAGCGUACGAGGUUCCCCUUCCCACGUGACUUAUUCUUUUAACGGAUAUUAGUGAAUUCCGUUCAUAUUUAAAAAUAAAAAUAAGCAAAACCAGAACGCGCUUAGUUGAUAUUGUCACUGCGCCUCUUGCUUAGCGGUGUAUUCAUCGGCUUGAAUUUUAUGGGCUAAUUUUCUUUGACAACGGAUAAGAACGGUCUAAUCUUUGUAUAUAAGGAAUUGCAAACAGCUGUCACAACCUUAAAUAGAUAAAAGAGUAACGAGUAUUGAACUAUCUUACAGAGAAAAUGUUCUCGCAUCCACACAUACAUACACGAGGCAAGUAGUAACAACAUCAUGAGCAGCAGCAAAUUAGUUACAGGAGAGGUUUCUGUUAGAUACCUCCACUAGCAGAUUGAUAUGGAUGAAUGGAAGAAAACUAUCGGAUUUAUUCUGUGGAAGUUGACAGCCGCAAAUAGAAACAUUGGAUGGAAACUCGUAUAUGCCUCGGAAAAACAAAGUCUUUCAAAAUAUACCAUCUCUAAUCCAUUCUUCUUAUCAAUAUGAGAUCGGAUCCAACGUGGAUGGUCAUAGGAAGCACCAGAGACUAUUACAGUCGUGUUCUCAUUUGCCAAAUUACUGAGAACUAUCAGUGCAUCUGGCUCGAUGGUAGACGAUGCAUCAACAAGAAAAAUGUGAGUAAAAUGUCCAGCAGUAAUGCCUUUAUUGACCAAUGGCAAUGGAGUUUUCUUAAGUGGCUUGACUGGGUUUGCUCCCCAGUUCGAGUCGCAGGGAAGUCGCCUUUGUUGGGAGAACAUGUGCCUCUCGGUUCGAGUAGGGACUUCUAAUCUGGGUUGUGGUACAGGCUUAAAGGUGUCUCCCACAGUUGGGACCCUCCCCAUAAUAGCUCAUGGUUAAGAAAAAAAAAAAAAAAAGGUAAUGCCUUUAUUGUGAAGGCGAAAGCUACUCGCAAAAGUUGAAGAUAUCACCCUGUAUUGUCUCAGUUGCUCAAGUGGAGGACAAGAAAAACACUCCCCUUCAACACCUGGAAGAUGUCAUCUGUUACCUCAUCCAUUUCUCUAAAUGCUAUUUAGAACAUUUGUCAUUGGAUGUUGUUUUGGUGGUUUUAGAAAUUAGAUUGAUAAAAUGCAGUUCCACUUCAAUUUCACCGUAGUAUCUUGUUAGUCGAAUUGGGGUGUUACAACAUUGGCCUGAAACAUAUCUGACUCUGGAAUAACCUUCGUCAAAGUUUUCAUUAGCACAUCACAUGUUCUGUUUGAAUGAGCACAUAUGAGAAUUCGACUAUUUGGUAACCUCUGACAAAUUUGGAGCACUGCUUCUCGAACAACAUUUCCAGUUUUUUGAAAGUACGUACUCAAAUACGUCUUCAUCUUGUAAUUCAUUUUUUCUUUCUAGUCACACACAGUGGAUCCUCCACAAGAUAAGGUGGCUGGCCCUAGGGCCGGCUUUACAAUAUUAGGGGCCUUAGGCGAACUCUUUUUUUUUUUUUUUUUUUAAUGAGGUCUCUUUUUAUUUAGUAAUUUCAAUACUCAAUAAAAUAAUAAAGAAUUGAAAAUUCAUUUCAGUUUUUAUUCUUGAAUUUCAACAAAUAAUCAAGAAGAUUAUAAAAAUUUUCAAAAACAAAAUCUAAAAUUUACCAUUAGAAAUUAUACAAAAAGAAGCAAACGAAUAAAUGAUAACAAUACUAUUUUUAAAUAAAAUAUUUAGAAUGGUAACACAUAAAAAGUUGAAAUCAUGAAUUAAUUGUUAGAUAAUGGAUAUGGACUUUGUAUUUCAAGUAACUAUUUUUUUCUUUUUCUUUUUCUUUUUUGAAUGAACUAAUGCAUGUAAUAAUCUUCAUUGUAGAGAAGAGAACAAGAAAUUUUUCAUCUAUAAUUUUCUAGAUUAUAAGAUUGUUAGUAGAAAUUAAAAGGAAUACUCAAAGUCAAAGAUUCUAAUGUUGAAUAAUUGAGCUUUUUUAAGAAGUUGAAAAGAUAAAAAAUUUACUUAUUUUUAUUAGAAAAACUAAUAAUGAAUAAAUUAAUGGUUAGACAAUAUUAUUAAUUAUAUCUCUUUAACAAUAAGAUAACCAAUUAUAGGUUUUUAUAUAAAAUAAUAAUAAUUAUUAAUUAUAUGAUAAUUAUUAAUUAGAGAUAUGUCUAAUAGGCUUUUCUACCACACAUAAUUUUUUUAAAAGAUUUUUAUUAACUAGAGAAUUAUUAUUAAUACUAAAAAACUGAAGUCUUUUUAAAAUUUGAAACUUUAGGUGACUGCUUUGUUCGCCUAUAUUUAAAGCCACCCAUGACUGGCCCUGUAAGCUCAAUGUCUGACCGCUGACGCACUGCAGAAUUGCCAUCCAAAUCAAGUUUACAAUUGCCGUAAAAGUGAGGUUCUGACGAAGGUAUAUGUUUACGACAGGCAAAAACAGGGAAAAGGCAGUUCUGGAAUAACUGAUCUGACACAGCUGCAGUUGACUGGUGAGCCCGUUUCAAACACUCUGUUGAAUGAGAAGCUAAUAUCAUAUUUGCAGUUCUGUUGGUGCUGAGAAUAAAAUUCCUUUUUCAAAUUCAACCAACACGGUAGUACCCUUCACCACUCGACAAAGAAUACCCCGGUCAGGUAUUCUGGAAAAGAUGGAGGUAUGAAACCAUAAAACAAAAUGACUAAGUCCAAGCUACAUUACAUGUUACCACUUUGUACAAAUUCAAUCGAGAUUAACCAGAUGGAAAUGGGUCUCAAACGUAGAAAAAUUAGUUUCCAAAUUGCAUGACUGGAAAAAGAUCAAAUAAUUUCUAUCAAGGAAAUAUCAAUCAGGCUUAGUUUGGCUCGUCACUAAACUCAAUGGAUGUCCUUGUGCAAAAAUUAUAAUAUGUUCUUAAACAGUGCAUUUGUUCCUCAACUGAAGUUCAAACUGAAAAAUAAUGGUUGGAUUGAUAAAAUUUGAAUGAAACGGCCAUAUAAGGUCAGACUUCAAUGUGUGGUCAUGUAAAAAAUUUAUGCACUUACUCACUUGUAUGAAAAAUCUAGCAGAAGUUUAUGUUGAUUUGUUAGGAUGCCACACACAACAAUUAAAUUAUAAUCUGUCAGGUUCAGUCGCUUCCAUCAAAAUGACACAAUGAUGUAGAAUGAAGUUAUAUAGAUUUAGGAAAUGCUGAAUAAGGAGUUACCUUGGUUGAUUUAUUUUUUCAUCAUGUAUUACUAGUAGAUUUUGUUUUUGCUAAGAAGUUGAUUAUGGUCUGCCAUUAUUAGUUAUCUGUUGGCCACAAUAAUAGGGCAUUAAUUUUUGUUUUAUAAAUGAUAGUUAUUGGAAUAAUGAAAAAUGGGUAUCUCCCUUUCUUCUCUCUAUUUCUUUUUCCACUUAUGGGCUCUUUUUUCUACUCUAUCACUAAUCUCUCCUUUCUUAUUGUCCUACCUCACGCUCCCAUUCUUACAAGAAGUGUGAAAUUAGCAGGCUUUCAAAAUUCGAAUGGCAUUGUUAAAAUUUUAUUUUGAAAUGUGUAACUAUAAUAUUACUACAAAAAUUUCAAAAUUUAGGGAGAAAGAGGCAUAAAAUAGAAUUUUCAAUUUGGCUUAUAUGCAAAUCAACCACACUAAAGCACGGCAAGAGAUUCUACAAAUUAUAUGUUGGUGAGAUAAGGAGACUUACUUGAAACUUCCUUGAUAUUCCACCUGAACAUUGUGCAUAAACAAAAUCCCUAGAUAAGAGAAAUGGCCGUUUCCCAGGAACAGAAUCAAUUUCGAAGGUUACAAAGAAUCUAACAUCUUUCUUAUCAUGCUUCUUCAAAUGCUUGUUCUUGAGUGACUUAGCAUAUAGAGUAGCUUCACCUAAUUCCAACGUUACAUUCAAUAGCUGAAAAUUUCUCCACUUCUGAUCAAAUCAAAGACAUAAAAUACAAGUAAAGUUCCUACAGAGAAGCACAAAUAAAGAUAUGGGAAAAACACAUAAAUACAAGUACAAUUGGACCCAUUUAAGAAGGGAAAAUGAAAAUGCAUCUGUCCCACCCUUAUUUUUAUAUCUUAUGUGAAAGAAUUUAUAUUCAGUUGUUAUGACCCAACCCAAACUUGGCAAAAUAUUGUCCGUUUUGGGCCUUAAUAAGGCCCGUAUGGUUUUGUUCCUGGGGUGCCCAUACACCCCAAAACGCGUUUUGCCAAUUAAUGUGUAGAUCACCCCUUAUAUACCCAACAUCUCUCCCGUGCUUUGCUAAUGUGAGAUUUGCCUAGGGUGCACAUCAGUAGUUUGUUUCUCCACAGAAUCAUCUGGGCAAAAUAUAAGAAUUAAAAAAAAAUACUGGUCACAAUAUCUGAAAUUUGUAAUUAUUUGUAUUUAUCAUGUCAUCUCAUGUAAAUUAAAAUGCAGUAAAAUAUCAAAGUAUAUAGAAAGUCUAAAGCAACUAUGGAUUAUGGAUGUCCCGCAAUUUGUUUUCCCACCUGAGUGAAGCAAACCCCAAUCCAACACUCUCCAAAUUAUGUUUCUAAACAUUUCACUAUUUCAGUCACUUGUAUUAAUAUAAUUAAGGAAAAUAAGUGAUGAGCAAAUAGCACCAAUCUUGUUAAUAUGAUCUGAUACACUGUAAUAAUUUCUCAUUGGUUUUUCAAGGGGUUCUGUAAGGAAACUAGUUGGGCGUGGAUAGCGCCAUUCUUUGUAAAAUAAUAUAAUCCAUUCUAAUAAUCUCUGCUGUUUGGUUCUAUUUCUUACACGGACGGGUUAGAUAGAUUCUUUAAGAGGUCCCAGAAUAACGGAAAUCUGGCUUAAUACAACCUGCUACCAGCCCAAAUCAUAUCCUUUCUAACAGAGCUCCCUAGAUUUUUUAAUGCUCCCAUGCGUCAACUUUGAUUCAUUGUAAAUUGUACUAGCUAUUUUGAAAUCUUUUCCAUAACUAUGAUGUACAUAGAUUACUUAAUCAGAAACCAUCUUAAUUGCAGCAUAACCAUGAGUGAGUGGUACGGCAUUAAUCAGAACAAAUAUGUCUUCAAUGAAAAGAAAUUAUAUACAACAUAUGAUAGUAGAAGUGAGGUUGUAUCGCGUGAAAUCAGACAAUAAAGUAAAACAGGAAGAAAGGGCAUAAUUAAUUAGUCACCUCAUAGUAGAAAUCCUCGGCAUAUAGCCGUGCAGCAAAGUAAUCUUUGUGGGUAGAGGGAGACAAUGGCUUCUUCAAAGCGUCAGGCACAAUGUCUUUCUUAACCAAAUCUUCAAUAUCCUUAGGAAUCUUGUAAUUGGAUGCGCCCUUCUCAACCAAUAAAUAGCUAUCAUUUUUCUGCUGAUUUGUUGAAUCAGAAGGGAAUGGAGAAAGGGUAGGCUGAGAAGAUGAAGGAGCCUUCUGAGACAAUGGCUUCUUCAAAACUUUAGGCGCUGCGUCUUUCGUUGUCAAAGUAGAACCAGAUAGAGAUUGAGAGGAUUUACGGGGAGAUGGAGAUGCUGGUGGCUUAGCACGUAAUUGAUGUUGUUCAGAAUUAAAUGAAGGUGGUUUAGGUGAUGAUAAAGAUUGACUGAGAGCAGACAGUGCAGGGUUAGAUAACGACAAAGAUGCUUGGGAUGAAGGAUGCAGGUUAUGAAGUGCUAGAAGAUGACGGUGGGGGCCCUUUUGGUGAUAGAAAUGGCGUAGACAAAGCAGAUGCAGGUUCGGGGAAUGAUGACAGUUGCGUUAAGGACUGUGAUUUAUUAGGUGAUGAUGAACAUGUGUAAUAGGAGGAUGAAGGUGGUGGUGGUCUUGAGCUCUUCAAACUGAGACUCUUCAUUAUUCCCUUUCAGUGACGACUUGUUACCAUAUUCGGAUUGCUGUGACAUAGCAUUAGGCUGCUGUGUAGUUUGUUUACUAAUUGAUACAUGCGGGUAAUAUCCAUAGUAAUAGAAUUUGCUUGGAUCAUCUCGACGCAGUAGAUCGUGGUUAGUAAAACUAGAAUUCCUGAGAGAAGUGUUGUGAUUCGAUGUUCCGAGUAGAGAGUUUGUCUCCCAGGAGCCCUUUCAGUUUCAUGACAAUCUUUAUUGGAACAGCAAAGAAUGCAUCUCAAAAUUUCAACGAACACAGACAUGCUGUUCUGCAACCAAAGAACAUCCAUUUAUGCAUCUUUCCUUUAUUUGGUUUUAUCAAAAAUAUAACAAUAAUCAGCCGCACUGAGUAGAGCUCUAUAAAAUCUAAUUAACUCCACAGUCUAGGCAAGUAACAAUCAAGGAAUAAUUAGAGGAUCAGGCAUAUUAGUUAAAUCAACAGCAAAUCAAUUUAUGUUUAGAGAGAGAUGCAGAGAGUGAUAGUUUGAAUCCCUAUAGUUCAUUUGAUGAGAAAUCUUAGGGUUGAAGUUUGUAACAAUCAAUAGAUAAACUUAAUUAAACCAAUGUAAGUAAUUAUCAUUCUGAAACUAAAUGAAUGAGAGAACUCUGUGUACUUGUUAGACAAUUAAAAAUAAUAAAUCUGAACAAGAGACUGCAUGUUGUUGAAAUGUUAAAAGUAUUUUACACCCCAUUAAAUACUAAAAGCUAUGACCAAGCAAUACACGAAUGUAAGCGGAGGCCAAGAUUAUAAACGAUGUUGACAUCAAAGUAAAUGAAGAUCAAAUGGAAGAAGGGCUACCUUCUGGCUGUUGUGCCGGAUUGUCGAGAUGACUAAUAAUCCAGAGAUGGAGUACUGUGACCUGUAUACAAUCUAUGAAGACUUUAAUUUUGGUUAAUCUAUGAAAAUGAAAACAAUCAAUCAUCAUGGAAUUGGACUGCAUGAAUUAGAUAGAGCAAUAAGUGCAAAAGCAACAGAUCAAAGAAAUGUUCUUACAUUCACACAUUUACAACCAGGCACAGUAGUAACAAAUUCAUGGAAGUAAACUAAGUUACAACAGAGGUUAUUGUUACUGCAGUACUCAAAGUUUACAGCAUAGUAAUGAACAUUGGAUUGAAAUUGCUAUAGGUCUUGGUGGCAUGAAGUCUUUCAAAAUAUGACACCCUUAAUCCAUUCUUCCUAGCAAUAUCGGAGCGGACCCAACUCGUACGGUUAUUAGGAGCACCGGUGAGUAUCAUGGUCGUGUUCUCAUUAGCCAAAUUUGUGAGAGCUAUCAUUGUCUCUGGCUCAGUAGCAGAUGAGGCAUCAAGAAGAAAAAUGUGACUAAAAUGCCCAGCAGGUAUGCCCUCGUUGUGAAGGCGAAAGCUGCUUGUAAAAGUUGAGAAUAUUACCCUGAAUUGCAUCAAUUCCUGAAGUGAAGGCAAUUGAAAACACUCCCCCCCUUCAUAAAGGCACAAGGGGAGGAUGUCAACUGGUACCCCAUCUACCUCUCUGAAUGCAGCGUUGGCUCGAAACAUAUCAGACUUUGGAAUCUUCUUCUUCAAACUUCUCAUUAAUACAUCACCUGUUCUAUUUAUAGGAGCACAGACUAGAAUUCGACACUUAGAUGACCUCUUAUAAAUUUCAAGUACUGCUUCUCGAACAACCAAUCCAGUUUUCGAUAGAUUGUCACUAGUUGCACAGAGUGGACCCUCUACAAGAUAAGGUGGCCUCCCAUGUAAGCUUAGGAUCCGACGAACUGCAGAGUUGCCAUCUGAGUCAAGGUUACGAUUACCAAAAAGACAAGUUUCUGAGGAACUGAUGUUCUUUCUAGUGGUAAAAUCAGGAAACAGGUAGUUCUCAAAUAAAGAACGUGAUGCAGCUGCAAUUGCUUGGUGAGCUCGUUUCAAACAGACUCGGUUGAAUGAGAAGCUAAUAUCGUAUCUGUACUUUGGAUGAUGCAGUGAAUAAAAAUCUUCUUCAAACUCAACCAACACUACGU
RNAcentral lists this long non-coding RNA (35886 nucleotides) under Citrus maxima (pomelo). RNAcentral describes it as "long non-coding RNA (CMAX_LNC003149)". Lineage: Eukaryota; Viridiplantae; Streptophyta; Magnoliopsida; Sapindales; Rutaceae. The record is from RNAcentral.